Molecule: ribosomal RNA, 1161 nt
Filed under: Aetokthonos hydrillicola CCALA 1050
Lineage: Bacteria; Bacillati; Cyanobacteriota; Cyanophyceae; Nostocales; Hapalosiphonaceae
Description: bacterial SSU rRNA
Rfam family: Bacterial small subunit ribosomal RNA
Source: RNAcentral
GGGGAAUUUUCCGCAAUGGGCGAAAGCCUGACGGAGCAAUACCGCGUGAGGGAGGAAGGCUCUUGGGUUGUAAACCUCUUUUCUCAGGGAAUAAUAGAGAAGGUACCUGAGGAAUAAGCAUCGGCUAACUCCGUGCCAGCAGCCGCGGUAAUACGGAGGAUGCAAGCGUUAUCCGGAAUGAUUGGGCGUAAAGCGUCCGCAGGUGGUAUUUCAAGUCUGCUGUCAAAGAGUUUGGCUCAACCAAAUAAAGGCAGUGGAAACUGAAAAACUAGAGUGCGUUCGGGGUAGAGGGAAUUCCUGGUGUAGCGGUGAAAUGCGUAGAGAUCAGGAAGAACACCGGUGGCGAAAGCGCUCUACUAGGCCGCAACUGACACUGAGGGACGAAAGCUAGGGGAGCGAAUGGGAUUAGAUACCCCAGUAGUCCUAGCCGUAAACGAUGGGUACUAGGCGUUGCUUGUAUCGACCCGAGCAGUGCCGUAGCUAACGCGUUAAGUACCCCGCCUGGGGAGUACGCACGCAAGUGUGAAACUCAAAGGAAUUGACGGGGGCCCGCACAAGCGGUGGAGUAUGUGGUUUAAUUCGAUGCAACGCGAAGAACCUUACCAGGGCUUGACAUGUCGCGAAUCUUGAUGAAAGUUAAGAGUGCCUUCGGGAGCGCGAACACAGGUGGUGCAUGGCUGUCGUCAGCUCGUGUCGUGAGAUGUUGGGUUAAGUCCCGCAACGAGCGCAACCCUCGUUUUUAGUUGCCAGCACUUAGGGUGGGCACUCUAAGGAGACUGCCGGUGACAAACCGGAGGAAGGUGGGGAUGACGUCAAGUCAGCAUGCCCCUUACGUCCUGGGCUACACACGUACUACAAUGCAACGGACAAAGGGCAGCAAGCUAGCAAUAGCAAGCAAAUCUCGUAAACCGUUGCUCAGUUCAGAUCGAAGGCUGCAACUCGCCUUCGUGAAGGUGGAAUCGCUAGUAAUUGCAGGUCAGCAUACUGCAGUGAAUUCGUUCCCGGGCCUUGUACACACCGCCCGUCACACCAUGGAAGCUGGUAGUGCCCGAAGUCAUUACCCCAACUGUUCGCAGAGGGGGAUGCCUAAGGCAGGACUGGUGACUGGGGUGAAGUCGUAACAAGGUAGCCGUACCGGAAGGUGUGGCUGGAUCACCUCCU